This 388-nucleotide ribosomal RNA is filed under the name uncultured bacterium. Its description in RNAcentral is "bacterial SSU rRNA". It matches the Rfam family "Bacterial small subunit ribosomal RNA", at positions 9 to 414 of the family's 1533-position model. The record is from RNAcentral.
GAGUUUGAUCCUGGCUCAGGAUGAACGCUGGCGGCGUGCCUAAUACAUGCAAGUCGAGCGGAAAGGCCCCUUCGGGGGUACUCGAGCGGCGGACGGCUGAGUAACACGUAGGAACGUACCCCAAAGUGAGGGAUAACUGCUCGAAAGAGUAGCUAAUACCGCAUGUGAUCUCCGGAUUAAAGCCUUCGGGCGCUAUGGGAACGGCCUGCGUAUGAUUAGUUAGUUGGUGAGGUAAUGGCUCACCAAGACGAUGAUCAUUAGCUGGUCUGAGAGGAUGAUCAGCCAGACUGGGACUGAGAACGGCCCAGACUCCUACGGGAGGCAGCAGUAGGGAAUUUUCCACAAUGGACGAAAGUCUGAUGGAGCAACGCCGCGUGCAGGAUGAAUG